RNAcentral lists this ribosomal RNA (450 nucleotides) under Arion fuscus. RNAcentral describes it as "partial 16S ribosomal RNA". The stretch from base 1 to 185 matches the Rfam family "Archaeal large subunit ribosomal RNA", at positions 1909 to 2143 of the family's 2987-position model. Lineage: Eukaryota; Metazoa; Mollusca; Gastropoda; Stylommatophora; Arionidae. The record is from RNAcentral.
AGCUUGAUGUAAUAAAUAUUAAGUAAUGUCUGCCCGGUGAGAAAUUUAACGGCCGCAGUACUUUGACUGUGCUAAGGUAGCAAAAUAAAUAGGCUUUUAAUUAAGGUCGAGUAUGAAUGGUAACAUGGGUGGCAGCUGUCUCAUUUUGUAAAAUUUUAAUUUAAUUAGUAGGUGAAAAUGCCUACCUAAAUACAUUAGACGAGAAGACCCUUAGAGUUUUUAAAACUUUAACUAGUAAGUAUUUAUGAAUUUUUUGUUGGGGCGACACAGUAGUACUUUAACCUACUUAGAUACACAUAUUACGGGACUUUAUUGAAAACAUAUGAAUAUAACUACCUAAGGGAUAACAGCAUAAUUUUUUUUUAUUAAGAUUGUGACCUCGAUGUUGGAUUAGGAAAUAGGUGUAUUAGUCAUAUACCUUAUAAUAUUCUGUUCGAAUAAAUUUUACCU